RNAcentral lists this long non-coding RNA (1000 nucleotides) under Marmota monax (woodchuck). The record is from RNAcentral. Lineage: Eukaryota; Metazoa; Chordata; Mammalia; Rodentia; Sciuridae.
GAUAUCUAUGGCUAUAGGUAGCAUUAACUAUAACUCUAAGGUCAGUGAGAGAUAGCCCAACAUAUGACUUAUUAUAGUUAUCUACAAUAGUUUCAUUGUCAAGAACAAAACAGAGGGGACUGCCUGGAUUAUAGUUCUCAUUACUAUAAUUUACUAUGGAGAAACAAAUAGGCAGAGUGGGUAUGAAAAUGUUGUUAUUCCAGGGUACAGUUACCUCUUGGAUGGAUAACUCAGGAUCAAUAAGGUUGGAAAUAUUGGAAAAGAGCUUAGGUAAAGCCCCUUCCCAAUUAGCAAUAGCCAGAAGGUGUAGUCUAGUGAUCAGGGCCCAAUUUACCUGGGCCAUGGUACUGUUGGUGGUUAGAGCUGUGCAUAAGAAUAGAAAGAAGACCUGUCCAGGAGGAUUAGGACCAUGACCCUGGCUUUCUCCAAUAUUACUGGCCUGCUGUAUUAGCCCUUUUACAUCACCCCAUGUGACCCCGUGAUGGGGUCUCCUCUGGUGUCCUCUUGCCUUCUUGCAUUUUUGCUUCUUCUCUUCUUGGUGCAUGCAGUGGGUCAUCAUUGCCGGUAGGUGUCCAGGGUUUGACAUGCCAGGCUGGAAUCCAGAUAGGCUGGGAAGACACAAGCAAAACCCCUACCCAACACCAGAAACAGCGAAGGCUUCGACCACUGAUUGGUUAAAGAAUCUUUUUACUGCACUAGGCGUAAGUAGGAUGGCCCCAUCAAGGGGGCCCAAUGCUUAAAGGCAGGUGUACAAUCAUCACCCUUAUGCACAGUUAAAAAAUUUAAAGUAAAGAGGAUAGCAUUAAGAAUAUUAUGGGGAGACCAUGGGGAGGCUCUGUCUCUCCCUUUUGCUUUAAAAUGGCAGACUUUAGCUCUUUGUGGGCUCUUUCCACCAGCCCUUGUCCCCGGGGGUUGUAAGGAAUACCAGUGGUAUGUUUAACCUUCCACUUGGAUCAGAACUCCUUAAAGGUUAUACUUGUAUACUCGGGGCCAUUGUCUG